UGGGGAAUAUUGGACAAUGGGCGCAAGCCUGAUCCAGCCAUGCCGCGUGAGUGAUGAAGGCCCUAGGGUUGUAAAGCUCUUUCAUCGGUGAAGAUAAUGACGGUAACCGGAGAAGAAGCCCCGGCUAACUUCGUGCCAGCAGCCGCGGUAAUACGAAGGGGGCUAGCGUUGUUCGGAUUUACUGGGCGUAAAGCGCACGUAGGCGGACUUUUAAGUCAGGGGUGAAAUCCCGGGGCUCAACCCCGGAACUGCCUUUGAUACUGGAAGUCUUGAGUAUGGUAGAAGUGAGUGGUAUACCUCGUGGAGAGGUGGAAUACGUAGAUAUUCGGAGGAACACCAGUGGCGAAGGCGGCUCACUGGACCAUUACUGACGCUGAGGUGCGAAAGCGUGGAGAGCAAACAGG
RNAcentral lists this ribosomal RNA (404 nucleotides) under Actinomycetes bacterium. RNAcentral's name for it is "Actinobacteria bacterium partial 16S ribosomal RNA". It matches the Rfam family "Bacterial small subunit ribosomal RNA", at positions 355 to 776 of the family's 1533-position model. Lineage: Bacteria; Bacillati; Actinomycetota; Actinomycetes. The record is from RNAcentral.